CUGGCGACGUGCUACACUGACAGUCACGCGCUGAAAGACUUCAGUCCAAUUAAACGGCGCACGGGUGAGUAACGCGUGGAUGAUCUACCCAUGAGUUAGGAAUAACGGCUGGAAACGGUCGCUAAUACCGAAGACGCUCCGAUUUCAACUUCUUGGGGAAAGGUGGCCUCUGCUUGGAAGCAUACUGCUCAUGGAUGAUUCCGCGUCCCAUUAGCUAGUUGGUGGGGUAACGGCCCACCAAGGCGACGAUGGGUUAGCCAGUGUGAUAGGAUGACGCGGCCACACUGGGACUGAAACACUGCCCAUCACUCCUACGGGUAGGCAGCAGUGGGGAAUAUUGCGCAAUGGGCGAAAGCCUGACGCAGCGGCCCCUCAUGAGGGAUGAACGUCCUCGGAUCGUACACCUCUGUCAGGAGGGAACAACCGCCACUGUGCUAAUCAACCGGGGUCUGACUGUACCUCCGGAUGAAGCUCCGGCUAACUACGUGCCAACAGCCGCGGUAAUACGGAGGGUGCGAGCGUUGAUCGGAAUCGCUGGGCGUAAAGCGCACGUAGGCUGCUUGGUAAGUCAAGGGUGAAAGCGAGCGGCUCAUACGCGGAAUUGCCUUUGAUACUGCCGAGCUAGAGUCCGGGAGAGGGUAGUGGAAUUCCAGGUGUAGGAGUGAAAUCCGUAGAGAUCUGGAGGAACACUACUGGCGAAGGCAACUACCUGGACCGGUACUGACGCUGAAGCGCAAGGCGUGGGGACUAACAGGAUCGAUACCGUGUGGACUACGCGGUAUCUAUCCUGCUAGGUGUCACGCUUUGAGCUUCAGUGUCAUUACUGGUCCA
Molecule: ribosomal RNA, 831 nt
Filed under: uncultured bacterium
Lineage: Bacteria
Description: bacterial SSU rRNA
Rfam family: Bacterial small subunit ribosomal RNA
Source: RNAcentral